AUGUAUAAGUUUAAUCGUUUAUCGAGAAACCGCGAACGGCUCAUUACAAUGGCCAUUAUUUACUUGAUCUUGAUUGUCUAAAUGGAUAACUGUGGAAAAGCUAGAGCUAAUACAUGCACUAAAGCACUAAACCACGCGGCUUCGGCUGCUUCUUGUUGACUCAGAAUAACUUAGCCGACCGCAUGGCCUUGUGCCGGCGGCGUGUCUUUCAAGCGUCCACUUUAUCAACUUGACGGGAGCAUAAUCGACUCCCGUGGUGGUGACGGAUAACGGAGGAUCAGGGUUCGACUCCGGAGAAGGGGCCUGAGAAAUGGCCACUACGUCUAAGGAUGGCAGCAGGCGCGCAAAUUACCCACUCUCGGCUCGAGGAGGUAGUGACGAGAAAUAACGAGACUGUUCUCUUUGAGGCCGGUCAUCGGAAUGGGUACAAUUUAAACCCUUUAACGAGUAUCAAGCAGAGGGCAAGUCUGGUGCCAGCAGCCGCGGUAAUUCCAGCUCUGCAAAUACAUAGAAUUAUUGCUGCGGUUAGAAAGCUCAUAGUUGGAUUCGUAUCGAUACCUUGGAACCCUUCGGGUGUCUCUAGGUGUUAUCGAUUUAUCGUAAUGUUCGGUUUUGAGUCCUUAACAGGAUUCUUAACAGGCAUUGCAAGUUUACUUUGAACAAAUCAGAGUGCUUCAAACAGGCGUUUUCGCUUGAAUGAUCGUGCAUGGAAUAAUAGAAAAUGAUUUCGGUUCAGUUUUAUUGGUUUUACGGACUGAGAUAAUGGUUAACAGAGACAAACGGGGGCAUUUGUAUGGUCCCGUGAGAGGUGAAAUUCUUGGACCGUGGCCAGACAAACUACAGCGAAAGCAUUUGCCAAGAAUGUUUUUAUUAAUCAAGAACGAAAGUCAGAGGUUCGAAGGCGAUCAGAUACCGCCCUAGUUCUGACCGUAAACGAUGCCAACUAGCGAUCCGCCGAUGGAAAUUAUAUUGCCUUGGUGGGGAGCUUCCCGGAAACGAAAGUCUUCCGGUUCCGGGGGAAGUAUGGUUGCAAAGCUGAAACUUAAAGGAAUUGACGGAAGGGCGCCACCAGGAGUGAAGCCUGCGGCUUAAUUUGACUCAACACGGGGAAACUCACCCGGCCCGGACACUGUGAGGAUUGACAGAUUGAUAGCUUUUUCAUGAUUCAGUGGAUGGUGGUGCAUGGCCGUUCUUAGUUCGUGGAGUGAUUUGUCUGGUUUAUUCCGAUAACGAGCGAGACUCUAACCUACUAAAUAGUUGGUACAUACUCUUAGUGUAUACAGCUUCUUAGAGGGAUUUGCGGCGUUCAGCCGAAAGAAAUUGAGCAAUAACAGGUCUGUGAUGCCCUUAGAUGUCCGGGGCUGCACGCGCGCUACACUGGCAAAAUCAACGUGCUUGUCCUACCCUGAAAGGGGCGGGUAAACCAUUGAAAAUUUGCCGUGAUUGGUAUCGGAAAUUGCAAUUAUUUUCCGUGAACGAGGAAUUCCAAGUAAGUGCGAGUCAUCAGCUCGCGUUGAUUACGUCCCUGCCCUUUGUACACACCGCCCGUCGCUGCCCGGGACUGAGCCAUUUCGAGAAAUUUGGGGACCGUUGAUUUAAUUUUUCUAAAUUACUUUGAUGGAAACCAAUUUAAUCGCAGUGGCUUGAACCGGGC
Molecule: ribosomal RNA, 1654 nt
Filed under: Meloidogyne incognita (southern root-knot nematode)
Lineage: Eukaryota; Metazoa; Nematoda; Chromadorea; Rhabditida; Meloidogynidae
Description: SSU rRNA
Rfam family: Eukaryotic small subunit ribosomal RNA
Source: RNAcentral